RNAcentral lists this long non-coding RNA (336 nucleotides) under Mytilus galloprovincialis (Mediterranean mussel). The record is from RNAcentral. Lineage: Eukaryota; Metazoa; Mollusca; Bivalvia; Mytilida; Mytilidae.
CCCCACACUCAAUACCAGUCUUUCCUAUGCAGUAUGGAACCUUGUAGUACAAUUUCAGAGAGAUACAUACUCUAAAACAAAAGUUAUUGUCUGGUAACUUGAAAAAUGCUUGUUUUUGGCCCCUAAUUCCUGCAUGAAUUGGGCAAUUACCCCAAACUCAAUCCCAGCCUUCCUUUUGUGAUAUGGAACAUUGUGGUACAAUGUCAGAGAGAUCCAUACACUUACACACAAGUUAAUGGCCAGAAACUACAAAAAUGCUUGUUUUUGGCCUCUUUUUGGUCCUUAAUUCCUAAAUUGUUGGCACCAUAACCCCAAAAAUGUAUCCAAACCUUCUAC